Molecule: signal recognition particle RNA, 88 nt
Filed under: Enterobacter cloacae
Lineage: Bacteria; Pseudomonadati; Pseudomonadota; Gammaproteobacteria; Enterobacterales; Enterobacteriaceae
Description: partial signal recognition particle sRNA small type
Rfam family: Bacterial small signal recognition particle RNA
About the family: The signal recognition particle (SRP) is a universally conserved ribonucleoprotein involved in the co-translational targeting of proteins to membranes.
Source: RNAcentral
UGUUGGUUCUCCCGCAACGCUACUCUGUUCACCAGGUCAGGUCCGGAAGGAAGCAGCCAGGGCAGACGACGUGUGUGCCGGGAUGUAG